This 77-nucleotide transfer RNA is filed under the name Rhodomicrobium sp. RNAcentral describes it as "tRNA-Pro". It matches the Rfam family "tRNA". Rfam says of the family: Transfer RNA (tRNA) molecules are approximately 80 nucleotides in length. RNAcentral also lists the same sequence under 1 other name. Lineage: Bacteria; Pseudomonadati; Pseudomonadota; Alphaproteobacteria; Hyphomicrobiales; Hyphomicrobiaceae. The record is from RNAcentral.
CGGAGUGUAGCGCAGCCUGGUAGCGCACCUGCUUCGGGAGCAGGGGGUCGGAGGUUCAAAUCCUCUCACUCCGACCA